Molecule: long non-coding RNA, 6710 nt
Filed under: Sus scrofa (pig)
Lineage: Eukaryota; Metazoa; Chordata; Mammalia; Artiodactyla; Suidae
Description: lncRNA (ENSSSCG00030049054.1)
Source: RNAcentral
AGAAGAGAGGGAAGGACCGCUCAGGGUGGGGAGCGGAAGAAAUCCUGGAGCAGCCAGAGCAGCAGGUCCGGGGGUAGCAGCUCAGCUCCACUGCCCUCAUUACUCAAGCAGGCACCGCUGAGCUUCCUGCAUUGCUUUCCAGUCCCUCUGGGCGGAGGUUGCCAUCUAGAUCUGACUCCGGAACUUAAAAUGCAAUGGCUAGAAGACAAGGAAGUGUCACAAGAAGAAUGUGGACAUGGACUCCAAGACUGCUAAUGAUGAUGUUGAUCCUUUGGAGUCAGCAGGGGAAAGGACAAGGCCAAGGUAGGUGCAAGCAUGUUUUAAUAUUCUUUGAGCCGGAUGUGAGUUGCGUUUUAUUUUGGAUUACGUGGACCUUUGGCUUGAUACGAUUUGAUUUGAUUUGAUUUUGGUUUGACAUUUCCCCAAGUUUUUUGUUGAAGAGGAUUCUAAUGCUUCUGAAGCUGUUUAAUUGAGCUCGAAUUAGGUGUGAGUUGGUGUAUCACAUUUGACUAGACAGGCGCUUUCACCAACUAAGGAAGCUGCUGCUUCGAGUUGGCUUUACUUUGCUAUGGUAGAUGCUCUCUAUAUAGAUAUAUUUGUGUGUGUUUGUGUAAUUUUACAAGGAUCUAUUCAUUAAAGCUAUUAUAUUUUUAAGUGAAGCUUUUGGAUCUUGUUUCUUUAGUGACUUUUAGGUUUUAAUGUUUUAAAUUUCAAAAACAUAAUUCAUUAAAGGGUUUGAUGUUCUUCACAAAUUAAGGAGAAAAAUGGAUGUUCCUCAUUGCUUUGCCAAGUAUAUUUGGAGGAAAUUAAUGGUAGAGUGAAGUUGGCAGUUUGCUGUGUCCUGACAUGUCCUUUACAGAGUUGAAAGGGACCAGAGAUUUUGUAAUGAAGUUUUUCAAUGUACUUAUUUGAUCGGUAGCUAUAGGGAGUGGUUUAUGUCAAAUCUGGUGUCUAUGUGGUAUAUUUUGUGAUAAGUAUUAUUUUUGGAGGUGCGUUGCUUGCUAGAUGCACAUUGCAAUUUAAUGUUUUAUAUGAUAAAAGGAAGUUGUGACCCCCAUAAAUUUUGUUUGGUCUUGGAGUAGAAUAUAUGUUGAUGUUGCUUCUGCAUUUCUCAGGCCUUGAAAUGUGACCAGGAAAGGUUUAAAAGCAUUGCUCUAGAUAAUACUGAAAAUGUGUUUCAAAUUGAAGAUUGAAAAUGGCGUUGAGUUUUUGCUAGUCUUAUGGUUUCCAAACUAUCCAUUAAAUAUUGUGUUUAUUUAAGUAAGUUUAUUAACUCUUUUGAAAAUAUUGUUCAAAAAGAACACUGAUUGCUUAUAAAAUAGAUGUUUUUUUAAAAAAAUGCAUGUGUAUCUUGUAUGUGAAUAGGUAUAUAUACAUAUAUGCAGAUAAUCAAUUUUAAUAAUGAAAUGGGCUUUGGUUUUUAACUUUUCUUUCAUGCCAUUAAGAAUUUAUAUUAACAUCAAGUUGAAUUCUCAUUUUGCUUUUCUUUUUUUUGUUAAAAAUAAUGUAAGAAAAUCACUUAACACACUUUUUUUUUUAAUCAAAUGUCUAAAACAGGAAUCUGUAGGCAGCAUUUCUGUUGGCUAAGAAAGUUGUUUAUUCCCCUGACAAUGUGUAGGAUCACUAAAAUGCAGCAGGACAACUAUUUUCCUGCAAUAGUGAUCCAACAGUACAUUUAGUAUGACAGGAGAUUGCCAAAACCUUCUCUGUGGCCAUUAUUUCUAGGGAUUGUGGCUAAUUCUCAUUGGUUAAGUUUAUUGGAUAUUUCAGAUAUUUGAGAAAGAAUAAGUAUUGUCUCUCUUAUUUGUCCAAGCUCUUUAUUCUUUCUUCAAUAUUGAUUUCUCAAAUAGUCUUUCCUUUGAUAGUGACCAUCCUGUGUAAAACAAACAAAAAAACAUGCCCCAAGUCAAUGCCAUGCUUAAGUACAGUGAAGCUUCUAAUGAUAAAUGCAAGUUAAGUAAUUUAGCUUCCUUUUAAAAGAAUAAAUUAAAAUAGGCAAUAAUUCAAAGGACAAAACAAUAGAAAACAUAAUAGAAUGCUUUAAUAUUAUGGUUAAGGGAAUUUUGCUUCCUUUAUAGUAGCUGGAAUGAAUGAAGCAGAUUUCUUAGGCAUGAUAAGUGAAUCUUAUAAUUUCAGGUAAAAUCCAAGCUAAGUAUUAUAGUUUGGAGCAAUAAGCCUCAUUAAAUACUAAUUUUUUUCCACCUUGGAUCAUAUAAUUAAGCAGAAUUUUAAAAAAAGUUUUGAAAUCAAAACUUUAUAUUACUGGAUACUUUUUAAAAGAAAAAAUCUCAUAGUAUUUUGGUAAGAAAAUAAUACAUUAAAUACAUUAAAAAUCUGUAAAUAAAGUUUUUUCUAUAUUAAGUGUACAACUUUGCCUUUAACUUUAUUUAGGCCAAAGUCUAGAGUUGUGGUUAAGUAUCAGCAAAGUAUGACUUUUGUAGCAAACAUGCAUGCAAAAUUAAUAAACUUAUUUUUGCACAAAUUUAAAUUUCAAGGGUUUAUAAGCAAUGCUAAACUGUAUUUUUAUACAAAUUCUCCAUAUUUAUCAGUAUAUUCUAAUUAUUUAUAAAUCAUUGUGAAAUUUGGAUAUUCUUUCCCAUAAAAGGCACAUUAAAAAAGGUAAUUAAGUUUGGAAACAGAAGACAAAAGUCCACUUAUUAAUUCAUCUGUGUGUAACCACCAUUUACAGCAAAUGUUAUGGGAAAUGCAUUCUGAGUUCUAAAUAUGAAGAUUGAAAGUUCCCGCUGUGGCUCAGUGGUAACAAGCCCAACUAGUAUCCAUGAGGAUGUGGGUUUGAUCCCUGACCUCGCUCAGUUGGUUAAGUAUCCAGCACUGCAGUGAGCUGUGGUGUAGGUUGCAGACAUGGCAUGGAUCCCAGGCUGCUGUGGCUGUGGUGUAGGCUGGCAGCUGCAGUUCUGAUUUGACCCCUAGCCUGGGAACCUCCAUAUGCUGCAGGUGCGGCCCUAUAAAUAAAUAAAUAAAUAAAUAAGAUUGGUUGAUGAUCCCUUGGGGGCAUCGGGGUCAUAUAAAAAAAGAAUGAAGAAAAUGUAUGGCAAACAGGUAGCUGUCCCUUGUUAAUUUUUUUGUGUCUGUCAAGAAUAGCAUCUGCUUGAAGAUGUAUAUUUUCCUAUAUUAAGUGGUUAAUUUUCACUUUUUAAGCAGUUUCUAAUAUACUAAGCCAAUCCUUAAGUUAAAGUAGAAUACACACAACUUUAAAAGAAUUAUACCUACUAUGUAAAUAAAACAAGUAAAAUGAACAUUCAGAUUUAUUUUUGUUUUUUAAAGGAAUUAUAGGAUGUACACACACACACAAUCAAACACUAAGGUAGCCAUUGACUUUGGAGAUAAGCAAGAUAAAACAGAACUAAUAUCCAGUACAUACAGGUGUAAUUUAUAUAACACAACAGGUUAAAUCAUGGGAAUUUGGGCUGGGAAGAGGGGCUGUAGAAAGCCAACAGAGAGCCCAGUAGAUUUACAGGAUUUGGGGAAGUGCAGACAACAGUUAAUGGUAUUCAGAACUGAGAAAUUUUUUUCUAAACUCAGCAAUCACAUUUCUUUCUUUUCCCAUCAUGUUCAAGUAAUAAUGAGAUGUGUAUAAAGGUAAAAGUGUAGUUUAUAUAAUACUUUAAAACAGCAACUGAGAUGCAUGUGAAUUUAAAGGCAAUAUGAGGCAGUUUGGAAUUAAUAUGAAUACUUCUUAAAAAUAAAUUGAUGUGACUUUAAAAAGCAAAUAAACCAUUCAGAAAUAUUGCUUGGUAAUUCUUAAAAAGAUAUUUCUCCCUUAGUGGCUUUAAUAAAUGUGUUCCUUUUUUUAUUCUGGUACGUAAUAUAGCUGUGUGAAUUUUCUAAUAUAUAUUAAAAAUAAUAAAAAGAAGAAUGAAUAUAUGUCUGUUUCUAAAAAACAAGUUUUUCAGAUUUAUUGAAUGAGCACUAUUUACUGAUUUUUUUGUAGAUCAUAUAAAGUUUACAUAUAGUAAUAAUUUUAAUAUGUUAUCAUGAGUACACACAGAAUUUUAGUCAGUUUGGUUUCCAGAAUUUACAUGUUGAAGUUCCAUAUAGCCACCUUGAAACUAAAUGUGCGGAGGUUUGAAACUUUGAUGAAGCAAGUGGAUAUCACUCAUAUAGCAAAAUUCACUUUUGAGGACAAAUCAAUUUAUCUUCUAUUUUCAUUAUCAGAUUUUGUGUUAGAUAUUGAGCAUUCAACAAAAUAUGAUAACAUUCAGUAAUUAUAAUCUUUAGUUUCAUGAUCUCCAUUAUGAAAUAUUUUAGUUGAGGCAACAUUCUGAAAAAGUAAAUUGUCCUAUUUUGCAAGUCGUUAGACUAUAAUUUAUAUACACAGCGCUAAUCACUUGUGUUUUGCAUUUGUCACACAUCUGUUUUUUUCUCUAGAGACAUCAGAAAAAAGCUUUUCUAGAAUGGAUGGAUUGAUCAAUUGAUUGAUAGAAAGAUAAGAGUUCUCCUCUGUAUAUUUUUCUUUCUCUGCUUUGAAAUCUUUUACCAGUGUAUUUAGCGAUAUUUUUGUUUCUCUCGCUUUCUCUUUCAUUCAAGAAAUUUAAAUGACUGUGUAAUUUUGUCAGUAAAUGAGGAUGGGAAUCAACUUUGUGUCGAAGGUUUAUUUUAAAAGCUACAGCUUUUCAAUUUGAAUAUUUCAAAUAAUGUAAUCUAUAAAUUAUAGUAAUAUCUGAGACUUCACUACUGGUGAGGAAUAAUGACCUUGAGGGACCUUAAUGCCACCUAGAGUUUAAAUUUUCCAAGAUUACUUGGGUAAAUUGUUUUCAUCUUAUAAAUGAAUGUUAUUUUCAGAGAAGAAAGCUCAUAAAUUUGGCAGUGAAUAUUGAAUGACGAUUAUUUGUAUAUCACUAGAGACCUGACCUCAAAAUAUAAUCAAGCUAAGUAGUAGUGAAAUUGAACUUUGCUGUGUAACUGAAGUCUUAAUGUGUCCACCACUGUUUACCAAAUGUAAAGAAUUUUCCAUUUUGCUAAAUAACAUAUGUGUGUUUGUGUGUACAUAUAAAAAUGAUAAAUGGGCAACAUUUAAUUUAGUCGGUGGCAUAAUUUUGUUACUUAUGUCCAGUUUUAAUUUUGGUUUAGGCAUCUUAAAAUAAAAAUGCAAAUAUCCAAAAUCUAAAACUCCCAUUGAUACUCAUCUCAGCAACAUUUAAAAUCCUACCAACAAUGAGCCAGUCAUUUUUAGUGAUUAUAUGCAGUACGCAAUUUCCACAGCUUGAAAUGUUUGUAUUAUAUUGUAAACAGGGAAAGUAGUGAUUUUAAAAAUGCAAGUGGAUUUACUUUAAAGACAAUAUUUUUGAAGAACUUGUCCUCAAAAUUUGGAUUUUUGAGAAAACUGUGCAUUUCAAAUCCUUUCCAGACAUUUGACUGUUGACUUCCUAAAAUCAGUGCAAGUCCUUUCAUGCAGUCUACACGGGAGCCCAAUGAAGUAAAGGAGAUAAUACCAUAAAAGUCUAAUUGUGAAGAAUUUCUUUUGAGUGCUCACUUAUAUGUAUAUUUUUUUUAUCUCAAGGAAGGAAUUAACUUUUUACAAUUUAGAUAGAUGCUUUUAAUAAAAUUGUGAUACAGUAAUUUUUUUUUUCAUGUUUAAAAAAAUUGCCACGGAGGGGCUAGUUGUGAAAUGUUCCUAUUUUAAGGGAGAAGAAUAUGAUAAAUUGAUACCUCUUCUUACUGAAAUUAUAUAAAAUUAUCCAAUAUUUAGAUCACAUUUGGUCACAGUAUUUCAAAAAGUAUUCUUACCAUGCAACAUAGUAGUGUUUUAAUUCCCAUUUAUUUUAUGCUUUAAGGUAGUCUCAUUUUGUGAGCAUUCUCUACCCUCUGAAAAUUAAAUUAGUUUAGGAAAAACGAUUUCAAAUAUGGUUCCAAGUGCCCUUAUCAUUUUUACCGGAGAGUUUUAAUGCUCUAUUUUUACAUAUUUAAAGGCUUUAGAUACUUGGUAUAGAAUUAACAUUUCAUUUGAAGUUUUUUGUUGUAUUUGGAAUUUGACUUGAAAAAUAAGCUAGUAAGACGUUAUCUUCUAUUGGAUUUGCUAGCAGUAACUUUCUCCCUAGCCAUAUAUAUGGAUAGAAAAAAAGAGAGUUAAAUUGGGAAUAAAGAGAGCAUAGAUCGCUAAAGAGAAAGAGGAAUUGAAGUAAGUGGUAUAAACAGGAAAAGGGAGAAGUGAAGGAGUAUGUGUGAGAAAUGCAUAAGCUGGGAUAGUCUAACAUAUGCUAAUAAUAAAAUAUGAUGUAAAUUCUUAAAUUUGUAUUCAUAUGAAUUUUUUUUUUUUUUAUUGCCACGGGGGAGGGGGGUGGUGGGAGUUGAAAGAGGCUGAGGAAGGUGACUUCUUUUCUAAGUAGGCGCAUACCAUACUCCACCCUACUUUGUAGUCAGCCUUAGAGCCAAAUCAUGGUGUGAAGUGUUAAAACUGUGCCUUAAAAGCAAUUUAAGUUCUUUGGAGUUCCCGUUGUGGCUCAGUGGUUAACGAAUCUGACUAGGAACCAUGAGGUUGCGGGUUUGGUCCCUGGCCUUGCUUAGUGGGUUAAGGAUCCGGCGUUGCUGUGAGCUGUGGUGUAGGUUACAGACAUGGCUCGGAUCUAGCAUUGCUGUGGCUCCAGCGUAGGCCUGCGGCUAGAGCUCUGAUUGGACCCCUAGCCUGGGAACCUCCAUAUGCCCUGGGAGUGGCCCUAACACAAGCAAAAAGACAAAAAAAAAAAAAAAAA